Anas platyrhynchos (mallard) is the source of this 4214-nucleotide non-coding RNA. The record is from RefSeq and is a predicted model, not a curated record. Lineage: Eukaryota; Metazoa; Chordata; Aves; Anseriformes; Anatidae.
AGACCUGACCUGAACAGCAAGCAAAUGCUGUCUUGAUAUGCCACGAGUGAGAGAAGCUCAGCACCCAGUGAAUGUCGUUGCAGUGGAAACCUGGCAGAAGUUGUCAUACCUUGAAGGUGAUAUCUUCCCAUGGCAGGCUCAGGCCUUCUUUCUUUGUCUCCUUGAAUCUUCCCAAGAGAUCCAGCCUGGCCACACUGGCUUUGUACUAACUGAUGCCUAGAAAAAUAUAGAAGCACUAAAAUCCCACCUGAUCCCAAAUUGAUCUGACCACAUGGGCAAAGCACUGCCCACGUCUGGUGGCCUUCCUUCCUCAUGCAGGCUAGGCAGCCAAGAAGCACCAGCCAGAACAAGGGGAGCAGAGCAGCACUUGCAUGCCAGGGCUGGUUCACCUUGGGCUCAAACUCUUGUAAACAGUUUGUGGCAAGCCUAGCAGAGUUUGGAAGUGUGUGUGGGCAUAACAAGAGCUCACAAAUACCACACAUCAACAAGAUCUGACCUUGGACUUGAACUGAUAUGGAUAUAUCUGCAGGCAACACGAGGCCAUUACAUCUCGAUAGGACAGAUCAAUGUGCAUUGAGCAAUUCACAGCUGCACCAAAACUCGCAGCCAAACACCAGGACUUCAGGAUUCAAACAGCCCAAAAGAAUUGACCUGUGGAGUCUCACAGCAUCCACCCUCUUCCUCAGUUGAAGAGUCUAAGCAUGUUUCAGCGGUUCUGCGCUCCCAGCACACAAAACCAUCUGCAGCAGCCCAAGUCAGAAACAGGCUCUCAUAGGCUGGCUCUGGAACAGGCAGUUUCUCGCAGCAAGACCAGCCGCCCUUCCAGCAAAUCACAGGUGUUCUCCACAUGGCAUGAGCAGGUUGAACCCACACAAAGGUAGAACAGCUGACAUAGCUGGAAGCCGCUUGGAUCCCACCACUGAAAUUGAGGCUUUUUGCUGGGAACAGGGUGUGUGCGGGCUGAAAAGCACUGAGGAGGAACUGAGGCCAUGGCUGAUCCAGGAGGGUGCCCAGAGCAGCUCUGCAAGUGAGGUUAGUGCCUUCACUUCUCUGUCAUCACCAGUCCUUGAGAGCAAUCACCACCCACCAACAGUUCCUCAAGAUAAGACUGAGCCAGCUGGGAGAAGAAAGCCUUUGAUAUUUUGCUGCCUCGCUGACUGCAUUUCUCACAGCUCAUGUCUCCGAGUGGACCAGCAGAGGUGACUGGACAUAUAAGAAUAACAUUGGACAGACGACUGUCUUCAGACCUUGGCUAACAUGAUUUCUCAGUGUCCUACUACACCUCAUCAUGAAGCUGGUACAGCAUCAAAGACCAUCUGCACUGAUGGGUGGAGGUACACAGGCCUCUUCUGGCCAGAACAGCAGCAUCAGCCCAGGACUAGAUGAGCAAGCACAUCUUCACUGCUUGGAUGGAGACUGGACCAACCCCUGAUAUGUGGAAAAGGUCCUCUCCUGCUUCAUCGUGAGGUGUGUUCUUGAAGAAGUAUGUGAGAGCAGAAAAGAGUUAAAAUAGCAUUGUCAUCCCCUGAAUAGAGCAUACCUAGGAAAGUGAAACACAGCUGUGACGUUCACCUGCGACACAACCGAGAGCACCAGUAAAGCGAAGAGGACAGUGUUGCAGCAGCUCUUGCAUUUAGCAAGCAUGGGCCUGGGCAGAGUGAGGUGGAGCUCGGCACUGGAGUCUCCCUGAUCCUUCCACGGAUAUCGGCAUCUGCCACACCUGGGGUCCACGGCAAAGCUCUUUCCUCCAGAGGCCAAGAGCUGAGUCUACAGUUUCCAGCAGGGUCCUGUAUGAUACAGCAUCUGCACUGGAUAGGUGCAUGGUGAGCAUGCUGUGGCUGGGCAAGGACUGCACAGAUCUGGGGGCAGUUUGCUAUUUCACAUACUCUUCCUGCACUCUGCAUAGUAAAACACCUCCUCCAAAAUGAAGGAGAGACAGGAGCUUCUUCAUGCACUAUUUCCACCACGUCUGCCCAUCUCUACUCCUACCACUGACUAAUUGGUUUGGCUGCCUCAAGAUGACCUUGAAAAGAUGUAACCUUUGAACCCAGGCCAACCCUGAAGCACUCUGCAGAGCUCUGUCUAGGAGGAAAAGCAGAGCUGACCACUGACGAGGAUACCCAUGCUCCGGAACCCUGCUUCUCUGGCUGCAUGGGAGAAACAACAUCAGAAAAUGCCGUGUGCCAGCAAGUAGGAAAUAUAGAAAUAUAUGAUACAGGAAAGCAAGGAGCUAUAUAUGGCUGAGCCCAAAUCCAGUUCCGAGAGGAGAUUUUCCAGUAGAGGACGGAGACAGACUGGGGUGGGGGAACCAAGGCACAGAGAUUAACCCAGCUGCCAAAUCACCCAAGGAGGCUGUAUCACAGCAUCAGCCUCCAGAACCAGAACUCAUAAAAGGUUUUAGCAGCAUGGAAUCCUGCUGGGAAAGCUCUGCAGCAGCUCUGGUCACAGCUGGCUGGGCACCUGGCUUGCUGGGCUUGGAGCUGGCUGAGGCUGGUACCUCCAGGAUGGGGCUGCAAGCAUUGGCUCUUGAGGUCUUACAGAAAGGUGGCUUCCCUGCAGCUCUGCUCCUUGCCAAGCUGUACUUUGGCCAGUAAAUGAAAGGUUAACAGCAACGGGAGAUGCUCUUUGAUGAUCAUCCCACUCAGCUCUUGCAGAGACCAGGCGCCGACACCAGAACUGUGCCAGGGUUGUCCUGCAAGUGCUGGUGGCAUCACCUCACAGCUGGGACUGGAGCCUCCCUCCGGGACCACGCCACGCCAGCAAUUCCAGGCUCAGCACUGCAGCUGCCCUGCAGAAGUUGGUGGGACUCGAGAGCGGUCACUGAAGUUUUGUGGAAAUGUUCAGUGGAGAUUUUCGUGGCAGGUGUGAAAGCAAUCUGCCUUGCAACUGACCUGGUGCGGCCUAGAGAAAACAACUGGGAGGUGUCAUCUCUGGGAGCAGAGAGAGCAGCAAAUGGGCUGUGUGAAGGACAGAGAAAAAAGGAAGAAAUACCUCCUGCAAAUGAGGUGCCAACAGAAAAUGUGCCUUGGCAGCUGGAAAGGUGUAAUGAAAGCCUCGGCAAAAUAUAGAUACAGAGAACAACUGAAAGCACUGUGUCACCCCAGAUCACAGGUGAAGCAGGGCUCCCCUUCUGCUCAGGUUUAGUGGGCACCAACACCUCCCUCAGGACCUAAGCACUGUCCUGGAAAGGCUGUGAAGGGGAAAAUAUCAGCAAAGGCGCUAUAGCUAUGGCUGUCACCCCUGGCAAUAGGAGGGGGAGAGAUUCCACCAUAAGCAGAUGAAGCCUUUUUCAGCGGCUCGGAUGCCGGCUCUCCAUCUCUUCAGCAUCCAGACUAGGCUGUCUGCAGUGGACUGGAAGUUGUCUCAUCAGACACGUGGUGCAGCCUCACCACCUGACAUGUUAUGACAAGCUUUUAACUUUUGAGAGGCAAUGGAUGGAAACGUGUCACUGCUUUGGGAGCAGCGCAGCACAGGCUGCCAAAAAUAGUUCAUGUUGCAGUGGUAUCAGCCCCUCUGAGGCAGACACCCAUCCCAGCCAUGGUGCUCCAUGAGGGAAGAAGCCAGGAUGCUUCAGGUGGCCUACACAGACCAGGCAAAUUAUUUGCUGCAAAUCCCCAUAUUCAUAGGCAUUUCUCAGAGCCAAAUGCCAGCAGUCAAGUUAUUUGGGCUUUUCAGUGAUUGUGUCAUUUUGAUUAAACAUUCCUCAGGUUCCCAAUUUUCUGACCACCAUCAGUCCCAAUCAGGGCCUCAAAGUCUUCUAUCAAAGCCAAGAAGCUAGUACAAAAUUUAGAGCAAGUGGGGAAAAAGAAACAUUGGUGACAGGUCACCUGUGGUUUGAAAGAGCAAGAGCCGUCCUCCCUGGCAGGCUGCCCUUUUCUAUCUGCAAUCUGUCCUACAAAGUGGAUGGGAGAUAAGUCACUGGCAGAUCCCUGCACUGAUAAAAGACGUUUUAAUUUACCGGUGUUAGCUUGGCACUGCUGAGCAAUAUUGGAAUGACAACUCCCAUCACACUCAAUGCACUUCCAAAACAUAUUAAUAAACUUAAAAAAGGAAAUGGAGCUGAGGAUUCAUUGUCCUUUGGAUGAAGAAAAAAAAAAUGCAUGUAGAUCUUCAAGUUUAACCCGUUUAAUGGUUACAAAUAUUUUGUUCAGAUGUGUUACCUUCCAUCAGAAAAAAAUGCAUAGCUUUCCUGAAGUUAACCUCCUGUUUUCUGA